CACCAGACGAGAAGACCCUGUGAAACUUUAAUCAACUAAGUCAUAUCGACAACAAUAUAAACCGCAAGGGUCCACAGCUGUUUAAACCCAUGACUUAGCGUUUUUGUUUGGGGUGACCUUAAAACAAAGAAAAACUUUUAAGACAAGUCAUAACAAAGUUGUGAUUAUUCAUUGAGACCCACAUCUCAAAGUACUUAAAUGUAAUUAGAUCCGACAACGUCGAUCCAUGAACCAGGCUACUCCAGGGAUAACAGCGCAAUCCCCUUCAAGACCCCCUAUCGACAAGGGGGUUUAUGACCUCGAUGUUGGAUCAGGACAUCCCAUUGGUGUAACUGCUAUUAAUGGUUUGUUUGUUCAACGAUUAAAGUCCUACGUGAUCUGAGUUCAGACCGGAGCAAUCCAGGUCAGUUUCUAUCUAUG
This 420-nucleotide non-coding RNA is filed under the name Alligator sinensis (Chinese alligator). Its description in RNAcentral is "Bacterial large subunit ribosomal RNA". It matches the Rfam family "Bacterial large subunit ribosomal RNA", at positions 2074 to 2646 of the family's 2925-position model. Lineage: Eukaryota; Metazoa; Chordata; Crocodylia; Alligatoridae. The record is from Rfam by way of RNAcentral.